Molecule: non-coding RNA, 31 nt
Filed under: Homo sapiens (human)
Lineage: Eukaryota; Metazoa; Chordata; Mammalia; Primates; Hominidae
Source: RNAcentral
GCGGCUGGUCCUCUAGAUGGGCACGAAUGCC